CAGCCGCCGCGGUAACACGUAGGUGGCAAGCGUUGUCCGGAAUUAUUGGGCGUAAAGGGCUCGCAGGCGGUUUCUUAAGUCUGAUGUGGAAGCCCCCGGCUCAACCGGGGAGGGUCAUUGGAAACUGGGAAACUUGAGUGCAGAAGAGGAGAGUGGAAUUCCACGUGUAGCAGUGAAAUGCGUAGAGAUGUGGAGGAACACCAGUGGCGAAGGCGACUCUCUGGUCUGUAACUGACGCUGAGGAGCGAAAGCGUGGGGGGCGAACAGGAUUAGAUACCCCGGUAGUCCCUGUCUCUUAUAC
This 301-nucleotide ribosomal RNA is filed under the name uncultured bacterium. RNAcentral's name for it is "partial 16S ribosomal RNA". It matches the Rfam family "Bacterial small subunit ribosomal RNA", at positions 509 to 807 of the family's 1533-position model. The record is from RNAcentral.